AGUCGAACGGUAACAGGCCUUCGGGCGCUGACGAGUGGCGAACGGGUGAGUAAUGCAUCGGAACGUGCCCAGUCGUGGGGGAUAACUAUCCGAAAGGAUAGCUAAUACCGCAUACGAUCUGCGGAUGAAAGCGGGGGACCUUCGGGCCUCGCGCGAUUGGAGCGGCCGAUGUCAGAUUAGGUAGUUGGUGGGGUAAAGGCUCACCAAGCCAACGAUCUGUAGCUGGUCUGAGAGGACGACCAGCCACACUGGGACUGAGACACGGCCCAGACUCCUACGGGAGGCAGCAGUGGGGAAUUUUGGACAAUGGGCGCAAGCCUGAUCCAGCAAUGCCGCGUGCAGGAAGAAGGCCUUCGGGUUGUAAACUGCUUUUGUACGGAACGAAACGGCUCUGGUUAAUACCUGGGGCUAAUGACGGUACCGUAAGAAUAAGCACCGGCUAACUACGUGCCAG
RNAcentral lists this ribosomal RNA (454 nucleotides) under Hydrogenophaga sp. SA_12. RNAcentral's name for it is "bacterial SSU rRNA". It matches the Rfam family "Bacterial small subunit ribosomal RNA", at positions 60 to 511 of the family's 1533-position model. The record is from RNAcentral. Lineage: Bacteria; Pseudomonadati; Pseudomonadota; Betaproteobacteria; Burkholderiales; Comamonadaceae.